CCCUUAGAUGUUCUGGGCCGCACGCGCGCUACACUGAUGCAUUCAACGAGUCUAAAACCUGCUCUGAUAGGGGUGGGUAAUCUUUUGAAUGUGCAUCGUGAUUGGGAUAGAUGAUUGCAAUUUUUCAUCUUCAACGAGGAAUGCCUAGUAAACGCAAGUCAUCAGCUUGCAUUGAUUACGUCCCUGCCCUUUGUACACACCGCCCGUCGCUCCUACCGAUUGAAUGAUCCGAUGAAUAUCAUGGAUUGAGGAUGCAAGUAGGUUAGCCUAUCUUCAUCUUCGAGAAGUGAAGUAAAUCUUAUCAUUUAGAGGUAGGAGAAGUCGUAACA
Molecule: ribosomal RNA, 329 nt
Filed under: uncultured eukaryote
Lineage: Eukaryota
Description: partial 18S ribosomal RNA
Rfam family: Eukaryotic small subunit ribosomal RNA
Source: RNAcentral